AAGAAGGUAGAGGUGGAAGAGGAGGGAAUGGGAAUUGAGGCAGAGGAGGCCAUGGGAAUCCAUAGAAUGGUGGGAAGUAAGGGAGAAAAAACUUGGAGGAGUUAAAAGAACUUGCUAAUUCUUCCUCCUUCCUAUUGCCACAGAGGGAACAUUGCAAGCUUUGGAUGAGCUCCCUAUCAAACUUGCUUGGCACAUUGACUUGAUUGACACACCACUUAAGCAGUUAAUCUCAUCAACAGAAGUGACUGAAUGAGUUGAGUACCUGGGAGAAAGUAGCUGCUUCUGGAAAAUGUGUUUCUUGAACAAGUAUCACAAUAAACAGCUCCCACAACGGUGAUCCGAGCGGUUGGUGUUUUUGGUUGAUGAGCUAACGGAGCAAUGGGGUGACUGAGAAAACAUAUGAGAAGAAGAAGAUGUAAAAUGACUGUAUCCAUGGGAGAGGACCCCAACUGUGACCAGAGAGGUGAAAAUGCUUAUCUAUUCACAAGAAAACAAAGGCAUGUGAAGAACCUUUUGCCAGAUUGUCAGGGAAGAGGGACAUGGUGGGACUUUCAUUACAUCUGUAGCAAACUAACUGGUAG
This is a long non-coding RNA of Argentina anserina (silverweed cinquefoil), 581 nucleotides long. RefSeq lists it as uncharacterized. The record is from RefSeq and is a predicted model, not a curated record. NCBI's taxonomy places the organism in Eukaryota, Viridiplantae, Streptophyta, Magnoliopsida, Rosales, Rosaceae. The transcript has 4 exons.